GCAUCCAUAGCUCAAUGGAUAGAGUCUCACCCUCCUAAGGUGAUUGUUGCAGGUUCGACUCCUGCUGGGUGCGCCA
Molecule: transfer RNA, 76 nt
Filed under: Acholeplasmataceae bacterium
Lineage: Bacteria; Bacillati; Mycoplasmatota; Mollicutes; Acholeplasmatales; Acholeplasmataceae
Also listed under: 2 other names
Description: tRNA-Arg
Rfam family: tRNA
About the family: Transfer RNA (tRNA) molecules are approximately 80 nucleotides in length.
Source: RNAcentral